GAUAUGGCUCAGGACGAACGCUGGCGGCGUGCCUAAUACAUGCAAGUAGAACGCACAGUUUAUACCGUAGCUUGCUACACCAUAGACUGUGAGUUGCGAACGGGUGAGUAACGCGUAGGUAACCUGCCUGGUAGCGGGGGAUAACUAUUGGAAACGAUAGCUAAUACCGCAUAAUAUUAAUUAUUGCAUGAUAAUUAAUUGAAAGGUGCAAUUGCACCACUACCAGAUGG
This 230-nucleotide ribosomal RNA is filed under the name uncultured bacterium. RNAcentral describes it as "partial 16S ribosomal RNA". It matches the Rfam family "Bacterial small subunit ribosomal RNA", at positions 15 to 228 of the family's 1533-position model. The record is from RNAcentral.